RNAcentral lists this ribosomal RNA (362 nucleotides) under Streptomyces sp. CW 20. RNAcentral describes it as "bacterial SSU rRNA". It matches the Rfam family "Bacterial small subunit ribosomal RNA", at positions 15 to 390 of the family's 1533-position model. Lineage: Bacteria; Bacillati; Actinomycetota; Actinomycetes; Kitasatosporales; Streptomycetaceae. The record is from RNAcentral.
GAGCCUGGAGUAGGUUGAACGCUGUCGGCGUGCUUAACACAUGCAAGUAGAACGAUGAAGCCCUUCGGGGUGGAUUAGUGGCGAACGGGUGAGUAACACGUGGGCAAUCUGCCCUUCACUCUGGGACAAGCCCUGGAAACGGGGUCUAAUACCGGAUAACACUCUGUCCCGCAUGGGACGGGGUUAAAAGCUCCGGCGGUCAAGGAUGAGCCCGCGCCCUAUCAGCUUGUUGGUGGGGUAAUGGCCUACCAAGGCGACACGGGUAGCCGGCCUGAGAGGGCACCGGCCACACUGGGACUGAACACGCCAACUCCUACGAGGCAGCAGUGGGAAUAUUGCACAAUGGGCGAAAGCCUGAUGCA